GAAAAGUUUUUUAAAUAAAUUGCAACCACUAUGACAUAUUGCUAAUAAGAGAUUUCCAUCAGAUAUUCAAAAGCUACCAUCCCAAUUAUACUGCAGCUCCAUUUUAUAACUGAUCAAAAUAUUCAUGGUCAGGGUUAUGCCAUAAUCAAUUCUGAGUAAACCUUGGCGGCAAACCCUGGAUUUUGGGUCCUACUAUAUACUUGUAAUACGAUGAACAAUCCUGACAAUAAAUGGAGUGAAGUGAACCAAGAAACCAUUUCUAUUCCAUUCCCCUAAACAUCAUCGCAAAAGCAAAAGCCACAAAACAAAAAUACUACCAACCUGCAUAUUUC
RNAcentral lists this unclassified non-coding RNA (332 nucleotides) under Hevea brasiliensis (rubber tree). Lineage: Eukaryota; Viridiplantae; Streptophyta; Magnoliopsida; Malpighiales; Euphorbiaceae. The record is from RNAcentral.